GACGAACGCUGGCGGCGUGCCUAAUACAUGCAAGUAGAACGCUGAGGGAGGAGCUUGCUUCUCCGGAUGAGUUGCGAACGGGUGAGUAACGCGUAGGUAACCUGCCUGGUAGCGGGGGAUAACUAUUGGAAACGAUAGCUAAUACCGCAUAAGAGUAGAUGUUGCAUGACAUUUGCUUAAAAGGUGCAAUUGCAUCACUACCAGAUGGACCUGCGUUGUAUUAGCUAGUUGGUGAGGUAACGGCUCACCAAGGCGACGAUACAUAGCCGACCUGAGAGGGGGAUCGGCCACACUGGGACUGAGACACGGCCCAGACUCCUACGGGAGGCAGCAGUAGGGAAUCUUCGGCAAUGGACGGAAGUCUGACCGAGCAACGCCGCGUGAGUGAAGAAGGUUUUCGGAUCGUAAAGCUCUGUUGUAAGAGAAGAACGAGUGUGAGAGUGGAAAGUUCACACUGUGACGGUAUCUUACCAGAAAGGGACGGCUAACUACGUG
Molecule: ribosomal RNA, 495 nt
Filed under: uncultured bacterium
Lineage: Bacteria
Description: partial 16S ribosomal RNA
Rfam family: Bacterial small subunit ribosomal RNA
Source: RNAcentral